AAAAAUCUUUCAAUAAUCCUUUUUCGGGUACUUACAACCCUGGAUGGAAGAACCAUCCAAAUUUCAGGUGGAGGAAUGACCAACCUCAACAAGUAUAUAACCCAACUCCUCCACCUCUGCAACCUCAUUAUGCACACGCACCCCCUCAAAAACCCAGUCUCGAAGAAACUUUGCAAUCUUUCAUGCAAGGUCAAGCUAAAAUCAAUGAUGAAUUAAGAAAUCAACUGACAACGCUGACCACUGCUUUAAGUGCUCAAGAGAAGGGUAAGCUAC
RNAcentral lists this long non-coding RNA (273 nucleotides) under Phoenix dactylifera (date palm). Its description in RNAcentral is "long non-coding RNA (PDAC_LNC011347)". Lineage: Eukaryota; Viridiplantae; Streptophyta; Magnoliopsida; Arecales; Arecaceae. The record is from RNAcentral.